Molecule: long non-coding RNA, 309 nt
Organism: Oncorhynchus tshawytscha (Chinook salmon)
Lineage: Eukaryota; Metazoa; Chordata; Actinopteri; Salmoniformes; Salmonidae
Source: Ensembl
UUAGGGGAAGGGUCUCUCUCUCCCCUCAGAUAGUAUGACCUACCCCUCAACCAUUAGGGGGAAGGGUCUCUCUCUCUCCCCUCAGAUAGUAUGACCUACCCCUCAACCAUUAGGGGAAGGGGUCUCUCUCUCUCCCCUCAGAUAGUAUGACCUAACCCUCAACCAUUAGGGGGAAGGGUCUCUCUCUCUCCCCUCAGAUAGUAUGACCUAACCCUCAACCAUUAGGGGGAAGGGUCUCUCUCUCUCUCUCUCUCUCCCUCAGAUAAUAGUAUGACCCUCAACCAUUAGGGGGAAGGGUCUCUCUCUCUC